Molecule: ribosomal RNA, 433 nt
Filed under: uncultured bacterium
Lineage: Bacteria
Description: partial 16S ribosomal RNA
Rfam family: Bacterial small subunit ribosomal RNA
Source: RNAcentral
AACGAACGCUGGCGGCAUGCCUAACACAUGCAAGUCGAACGAGACCUUCGGGUCCAGUGGCGCACGGGUGCGUAACGCGUGGGAACCUGCCCUUAGGUUCGGAAUAACUCCCCGAAAGGGGUGCUAAUACCGGAUAAUGUCUUCGGACCAAAGACUUAUCGCCUUUGGAUGGGCCCGCGUUGGAUUAGCUAGUUGGUAGGGUAAAAGCCUACCAAGGCGACGAUCCAUAGCUGGUCUGAGAGGAUGAUCAGCCACACUGGGACUGAGACACGGCCCAGACUCCUACGGGAGGCAGCAGUGGGGAAUAUUGGACAAUGGGCGAAAGCCUGAUCCAGCAAUGCCGCGUGAGUGAUGAAGGCCUUAGGGUUGUAAAGCUCUUUUACCCGGGAUGAUAAUGACAGUACCGGGAGAAUAAGCUCCGGCUAACUCCGUG